AUGACACAAUUUCACAUUGAAUAAAACACAUUGUUUCAAUGAAUAUAACAAAUUUUUUAAUGAACAGAAUACUAUAUUGCAAAUUUGCAAUGAACAAAAUACAAUUCUUUAAUGAAUAAAAUACAUUUUUCAAUGGACAUAAAUCAAGAUGGAAAAUCUCUGCAAUGCAUAAUCAAGAUCUAGGCUCUGCCGCUUAUGUUCAGUCGAGGAUAUAGGAGAUGAUGGAGGUGAGUUCGAGAGGGAGAUGGCUGGGACGAAGGCAGUGGUCGUGGCUUCGCCUAUGGCGGCAGCGGCGGCGGCGGUGGCGGCGUGAAAGCGAUGGUCGUGCCUUCGCUGGGGUAGAAGGGGGCGGCGCUCUGUGCGUGCGUGCGUGUGUGUAUGUUACUGUGUGCUGGUGUGUGUGGGUUUCAUGAGGAAGAUGAAUCCUUAAUAUUCGAACUAACCACUCAAAGAUGAUGAGACGGGAAACGAAAAUCAUGGAGGAAAUUUGGGAUACAAAAUGAUGAAAGACGUGUGCUCUUACGGAAUCAUAAGACCUCAUUCUUCAAGUUACUGUUUUAGCCUUUAGUAAGAAUAAAAUACAUGUUUAAUGAAUAUUCAGAAUUUUUAAAUUUGAAAUCAUUUUCAAUAAUAACCGUUAGAUGCGUUAAAUCCAACGCUAUAUAAUAAUUCUUCAUUCUCUCUCUUAUACU
Molecule: long non-coding RNA, 692 nt
Filed under: Salvia miltiorrhiza (redroot sage)
Lineage: Eukaryota; Viridiplantae; Streptophyta; Magnoliopsida; Lamiales; Lamiaceae
Description: long non-coding RNA (SMIL_LNC012990)
Source: RNAcentral